Molecule: ribosomal RNA, 916 nt
Filed under: uncultured bacterium
Lineage: Bacteria
Description: bacterial SSU rRNA
Rfam family: Bacterial small subunit ribosomal RNA
Source: RNAcentral
UUGUUGGUAAGGUAAAAGCUUACCAAGGCUUCGAUCAGUAGCUGGUCUGAGAGGACGACCAGCCACACUGGGACUGAGACACGGCCCAGACUCCUACGGGAGGCAGCAGUGGGGAAUUUUGGACAAUGGGGGCAACCCUGAUCCAGCCAUGCCGCGUGAGUGAAGAAGGCCUUCGGGUUGUAAAGCUCUUUCAGCCGGAACGAAACGGUUACGGUUAACACCCGUGACUACUGACGGUACCGGAAGAAGAAGCACCGGCUAACUACGUGCCAGCAGCCGCGGUAAUACGUAGGGUGCGAGCGUUAAUCGGAAUUACUGGGCGUAAAGCGUGCGCAGGUGGUUUUGUAAGUCAGAUGUGAAAGCCCCGGGCUCAACCUGGGAACUGCGUUUGAAACUACAAGACUAGAGUGUGGCAGAGGGGGGUGGAAUUCCGCGUGUAGCAGUGAAAUGCGUAGAGAUGUGGAGGAACACCGAUGGCGAAGGCAGCCCCCUGGGUCAACACUGACGCUCAGGCACGAAAGCAUGGGGAGCAAACAGGAUUAGAUACCCUGGUAGUCCAUGCCCUAAACGAUGUCAACUAGUUGUCGGGCCUUUACGGGCUUGGUAACGUAGCUAACGCGUGAAGUUGACCGCCUGGGGAGUACGAUCGCAAGAUUAAARCUCAAAUGAAUUGACGGGGACCCGCACAAGCGGUGGAUUAUGUGGAUUAAUUCGAUGCAACGCGAAAAACCUUACCUACCCUUGACAUGUAUCGAAGCCCGCAGAAAAGCGGGGGUGCCCGAAAGGGAACGAUAACACAGGUGCUGCAUGGCUGUCGUCAGCUCGUGUCGUGAGAUGUUGGGUUAAGUCCCGCAACGAGCGCAACCCUUGUCAUUAAUUGCCAUCAUUUAGUUGGGCACUUUAAUGAGACUGCCGG